Molecule: ribosomal RNA, 644 nt
Filed under: uncultured bacterium
Lineage: Bacteria
Description: bacterial SSU rRNA
Rfam family: Bacterial small subunit ribosomal RNA (bases 1-537)
Source: RNAcentral
CCUACGGAAGGCAGCAGUAAGGAAUAUUGGACAAUGGUCGCAAGACUGAUCCAGCCAUGCCGCGUGAAGGAUGAAGGCCCUAUGGGUUGUAAACUUCUUUUGUAUGGGAAAAAACCCUUCUACGUGUAGAAGGCUGAUUGUACCAUAAGAAUAAGGAUCGGCUAACUCCGUGCCAGCAGCCGCGGUAAUACGGAGGAUCCAAGCGUUAUCCGGAUUCAUUGGGUUUAAAGGGUGCGUAGGCGGAAUGAUAAGUCAGUGGUGAAAUCCUGCAGCUUAACUGCAGAACUGCCAUUGAUACUGUCAAUCUUGGGUACAUUUGAUGUGGGCGGAAUGUGUCAUGUAGCGGUGAAAUGCUUAGAUAUGACACAGAACACCGAUUGCGAAGGCAGCUCACAAAACUGUAACUGACGCUGAGGCACGAAAGCGUGGGUAUCAAACAGGAUUAGAUACCCUGGUAGUCCACGCUGUAAACUAUGAUUACCUGAUGUUUGCGAUACAACUGUAAGCGUCUAGACGAAGAGAGUAAGUAAUACCACCGUAGGGAGGUACGCGUCGCGAAGAGUAGAACGUACGAAAGUAGAAGUUAGGACGGCGUUGGAGGACGUUACGCCGACGGACGACGACGACGGGGAGGUUAGGGAAGG